GUCCCUUGCUCUCUCCUGAAGGGCAACACUCUAUUCUUUCCUCCAGCUCUGCUUCCCUCCACCUUGUUUGAUUGCUACCUCCUGUCCUGUUGGGUUUUAUGCCCCACCUCCUAUAGACUGUAAGCUCAUUUGAGCAGGGUCCUCUUCAACCUAUUGUUCCUGUAAGUUUUUGUAACUGUCUCAUUUAUUGUUAAAUAUCCCCCUUUGAUAAUAUUGUAAAGCACUAUGGAAUAUGCUGGCGCUAUUAUAAAUACCAGUAAUAAUAAUAAUAAUAAUAAUAAUAGAUAUCAGUUGCAGUUACUGAUUUAUUUAUGAACACUAGGUAAUGAAG
This is a non-coding RNA of Pelobates cultripes (western spadefoot toad), 331 nucleotides long. The record is from the annotation of a GenBank genome assembly. NCBI's taxonomy places the organism in Eukaryota, Metazoa, Chordata, Amphibia, Anura, Pelobatidae.